CCUACGGGUGGCAGCAGUGAGGAAUAUUGGUCAAUGGGCGCGAGCCUGAACCAGCCAAGUAGCGUGAAGGAUGACUGCCCUACGGGUUGUAAACUGCUUUUGUACAAGGGUAAACCUGAAUACGUGUAUUCAGCUGAAAGUACUGUACGAAUAAGGAUCGGCUAACUCCGUGCCAGCAGCCGCGGUAAUACGGAGGAUCCAAGCUUUAUCCGGAUUUAUUGGGUUUAAAGGGUGCGUAGGCGGAUUGAUAAGUUAGAGGUGAAAUGUCCGAGCUUAACUCGGGAACUGCCUCUAAUACUGUUGAUCUAGAGAGUAGAUGCGGUAGGCGGAAUGUAUGGUGUAGCGGUGAAAUGCUUAGAGAUCACGAAGAACUCCGAUUGCGAAGGCAGUUCACUGGACUGCAACUGACACUGAGGCUCGAAAGUGUGGGGAGCAAACAGGAUUAGAUACCCCAGUAGUC
This 460-nucleotide ribosomal RNA is filed under the name uncultured bacterium. Its description in RNAcentral is "partial 16S ribosomal RNA". It matches the Rfam family "Bacterial small subunit ribosomal RNA", at positions 338 to 795 of the family's 1533-position model. The record is from RNAcentral.